UGCAGAAUCCCGUGAACCAUCGAGUCUUUGAACGCAAGUUGCGCCCGAGGCUAUCCGGUCGAGGGCACGCCUGCCUGGGCGUCAUGCCUCGCGUCGCUCUGCGCACUCUGAGCCACCCUUCGAGCAGGGGCGGUGGCGGGCGCGGAUGCGCAGAUUGGCCCCCCAUGCCUUGCGGCGCGGCGGGCCGAAGUGCAGGCCGCCGGCCGGGAACGGAUGCGGCGAGUGGUGGACGGACACGUACGGCGCCGGACGCUGCCUCCGCCCCCGGCUGCAGCGGUGCAUGCUAGGAACCCAUGCCGUCGGGUGCGCUCGUACGCGCCCCUCGGAACUCGACCCCAGGUCAGGCGGGGCCACCCGCUGAGCUUAAGCAUAUCAAUAAGCGGAGGAGAAGAAACUUACGAGGAUUCCCCUAGUAACGGCGAGCGAACCGGGAAGAGCCCAGCUUGGGAAUCGGGCGGCCGCGCUGCCCGA
This 471-nucleotide ribosomal RNA is filed under the name Dracaena angustifolia. Its description in RNAcentral is "eukaryotic LSU rRNA". The stretch from base 331 to 471 matches the Rfam family "Eukaryotic large subunit ribosomal RNA", at positions 1 to 141 of the family's 3401-position model. The record is from RNAcentral. Lineage: Eukaryota; Viridiplantae; Streptophyta; Magnoliopsida; Asparagales; Asparagaceae.